This 465-nucleotide ribosomal RNA is filed under the name uncultured bacterium. RNAcentral describes it as "partial 16S ribosomal RNA". It matches the Rfam family "Bacterial small subunit ribosomal RNA", at positions 338 to 795 of the family's 1533-position model. The record is from RNAcentral.
CCUACGGGAGGCAGCAGUAGGGAAUCUUCCACAAUGGGCGAAAGCCUGAUGGAGCAACGCCGCGUGGGUGAAGAAGGUCUUCGGAUCGUAAAACCCUGUUGUUAGAGAAGAAAGUGCGUGAGAGUAACUGUUCACGUUUCGACGGUAUCUAACCAGAAAGCCACGGCUAACUACGUGCCAGCAGCCGCGGUAAUACGUAGGUGGCAAGCGUUAUCCGGAUUUAUUGGGCGUAAAGCGAACGCAGGCGGUCUUUUAAGUCUGAUGUGAAAGCCUUCGGCUUAACCGGAGUAGUGCAUCAGAAACGGGGGGACUUGAGGGCAGAAGAGGAGAGGGGAACUCAAUGGGUAGAGGUGGAAUGCGUAGAUAUAUGGAAGAACACCAGUGGCGAAGGCGGCUCUCUGGUCUGUAACUGACGCUGAGGUUCGAAAGCAUGGGUAGCGAACAGGAUUAGAUACCCGAGUAGUC